This 424-nucleotide ribosomal RNA is filed under the name Acidobacteriota bacterium. RNAcentral describes it as "Acidobacteria bacterium partial 16S ribosomal RNA". It matches the Rfam family "Bacterial small subunit ribosomal RNA", at positions 355 to 776 of the family's 1533-position model. RNAcentral also lists the same sequence under 2 other names. Lineage: Bacteria; Pseudomonadati; Acidobacteriota. The record is from RNAcentral.
UGAGGAAUAUUGGUCAAUGGGCGUUAGCCUGAACCAGCCAAGUAGCGUGAAGGAUGAAGGCUCUAUGGGUCGUAAACUUCUUUUAUAUAAGAAUAAAGUGCAGUAUGUAUACUGUUUUGUAUGUAUUAUAUGAAUAAGGAUCGGCUAACUCCGUGCCAGCAGCCGCGGUAAUACGGAGGAUCCGAGCGUUAUCCGGAUUUAUUGGGUUUAAAGGGAGCGUAGGUGGACUGGUAAGUCAGUUGUGAAAGUUUGCGGCUCAACCGUAAAAUUGCAGUUGAUACUGUCAGUCUUGAGUACAGUAGAGGUGGGCGGAAUUCGUGGUGUAGCGGUGAAAUGCUUAGAUAUCACGAAGAACUCCGAUUGCGAAGGCAGCUCACUGGACUGCAACUGACACUGAUGCUCGAAAGUGUGGGUAUCAAACAGG